CCUACGGGAGGCAGCAGUGGGGGAUAUUGCACAAUGGGGGGAACCCUGAUGCAGCGACGCCGCGUGGGUGAAGAAGCGCCUCGGCGCGUAAAGCCCUGUCUGCAGGGAAGAAAAUGACGGUACCUGAAGAAGAAGCCCCGGCUAACUACGUGCCGGCAGCCGCGGUAAUACGUAGGGGGCAAGCGUUAUCCGGAUUUACUGGGGGUAAAGGGGGCGCAGACGGCGAUGCAAGCCAGGAGGGAAAGCCCGGGGGCCAACCCCGGGACUGCCCUUGGAACUGCGUGGCUGGAGUGCAGGAGGGGCAGGCGGAAUGCCUGGUGUAGCGGUGAAAUGCGUAGAUAUCAGGAGGAACACCGGUGGCGAAGGCGGCCUGCUGGACUGCAACUGACGUUGAGGCCCGAAAGCGUGGGGAGCAAACAGGAUUAGAUACCCUAGUAGUC
RNAcentral lists this ribosomal RNA (440 nucleotides) under uncultured bacterium. Its description in RNAcentral is "partial 16S ribosomal RNA". It matches the Rfam family "Bacterial small subunit ribosomal RNA", at positions 338 to 795 of the family's 1533-position model. The record is from RNAcentral.